This 213-nucleotide long non-coding RNA is filed under the name Gossypium barbadense (sea-island cotton). RNAcentral's name for it is "long non-coding RNA (GBAR_LNC011633)". The record is from RNAcentral. Lineage: Eukaryota; Viridiplantae; Streptophyta; Magnoliopsida; Malvales; Malvaceae.
UUUUGUGUUUUCCUCUAAGUAAAUCUUGUGGGUGCAUGUCAAAGGGCUUAUCCCUUUUAAUUUGGCAAUGGUCCAGCCAAUCGCCUCCUUUUGACUUUUUAGUACCUGGAUCAAAUUUUUUCCUCGGGUUUAGAGAGUUUAUUUGAAAUUAUAAUGGGUAAGGUAUUACCUUUUCCUAAAAAUGCAUACUUAAGAUGCUCGGGAAGCGGUUUC